RNAcentral lists this ribosomal RNA (1203 nucleotides) under Pediococcus acidilactici. Its description in RNAcentral is "bacterial SSU rRNA". It matches the Rfam family "Bacterial small subunit ribosomal RNA", at positions 24 to 1183 of the family's 1533-position model. The record is from RNAcentral. Lineage: Bacteria; Bacillati; Bacillota; Bacilli; Lactobacillales; Lactobacillaceae.
UCAGGAUGAACGCUGGCGGCGUGCCUAAUACAUGCAAGUCGAACGAACUUCCGUUAAUUGAUUAUGACGUGCUUGCACUGAAUGAGAUUUUAACACGAAGUGAGUGGCGGACGGGUGAGUAACACGUGGGUAACCUGCCCAGAAGUAGGGGAUAACACCUGGAAACAGAUGCUAAUACCGUAUAACAGAGAAAACCGCCUGGUUUUCUUUUAAAAGAUGGCUCUGCUAUCACUUCUGGAUGGACCCGCGGCGCAUUAGCUAGUUGGUGAGGUAACGGCUCACCAAGGCGAUGAUGCGUAGCCGACCUGAGAGGGUAAUCGGCCACAUUGGGACUGAGACACGGCCCAGACUCCUACGGGAGGCAGCAGUAGGGAAUCUUCCACAAUGGACGCAAGUCUGAUGGAGCAACGCCGCGUGAGUGAAGAAGGGUUUCGGCUCGUAAAGCUCUGUUGUUAAAGAAGAACGUGGGUGAGAGUAACUGUUCACCCAGUGACGGUAUUUAACCAGAAAGCCACGGCUAACUACGUGCCAGCAGCCGCGGUAAUACGUAGGUGGCAAGCGUUAUCCGGAUUUAUUGGGCGUAAAGCGAGCGCAGGCGGUCUUUUAAGUCUAAUGUGAAAGCCUUCGGCUCAACCGAAGAAGUGCAUUGGAAACUGGGAGACUUGAGUGCAGAAGAGGACAGUGGAACUCCAUGUGUAGCGGUGAAAUGCGUAGAUAUAUGGAAGAACACCAGUGGCGAAGGCGGCUGUCUGGUCUGUAACUGACGCUGAGGCUCGAAAGCAUGGGUAGCGAACAGGAUUAGAUACCCUGGUAGUCCAUGCCGUAAACGAUGAUUACUAAGUGUUGGAGGGUUUCCGCCCUUCAGUGCUGCAGCUAACGCAUUAAGUAAUCCGCCUGGGGAGUACGACCGCAAGGUUGAAACUCAAAAGAAUUGACGGGGGCCCGCACAAGCGGUGGAGCAUGUGGUUUAAUUCGAAGCUACGCGAAGAACCUUACCAGGUCUUGACAUCUUCUGCCAACCUAAGAGAUUAGGCGUUCCCUUCGGGGACAGAAUGACAGGUGGUGCAUGGUUGUCGUCAGCUCGUGUCGUGAAAUGUUGGGUUAAGUCCCGCAACGAGCGCAACCCUUAUUACUAGUUGCCAGCAUUCAGUUGGGCACUCUAGUGAGACUGCCGGUGACAAACCGGAGGAAGGUGGGGACGAC